GUGGGGAAUUUUGGACAAUGGGCGAAAGCCUGAUCCAGCCAUGCCGCGUGCAGGAUGAAGGCCUUCGGGUUGUAAACUGCUUUUGUACGGAACGAAAAGACUCCUUCUAAUAAAGGGGGUCCAUGACGGUACCGUAAGAAUAAGCACCGGCUAACUACGUGCCAGCAGCCGCGGUAAUACGUAGGGUGCAAGCGUUAAUCGGAAUUACUGGGCGUAAAGCGUGCGCAGGCGGGUAUAUAAGACAGAUGUGAAAUCCCCGGGCUCAACCUGGGAACUGCAUUUGUGACUGUAUAGCUAGAGUACGGUAGAGGGGGAUGGAAUUCCGCGUGUAGCAGUGAAAUGCGUAGAUAUGCGGAGGAACACCGAUGGCGAAGGCAAUCCCCUGGACCUGUACUGACGCUCAUGCACGAAAGCGUGGGGAGCAAACAGGAUUAGAAACCCUUGUAGUCC
RNAcentral lists this ribosomal RNA (450 nucleotides) under uncultured bacterium. Its description in RNAcentral is "partial 16S ribosomal RNA". It matches the Rfam family "Bacterial small subunit ribosomal RNA", at positions 354 to 796 of the family's 1533-position model. The record is from RNAcentral.